RNAcentral lists this unclassified non-coding RNA (251 nucleotides) under Hevea brasiliensis (rubber tree). The record is from RNAcentral. Lineage: Eukaryota; Viridiplantae; Streptophyta; Magnoliopsida; Malpighiales; Euphorbiaceae.
GGACAAGAAAGGCGACAAAACAAAGGGUGAGCUGAUGCUUGCAGUAUGGAUCGGUACCCAAGCUGAUGAGGCUUUCCCCGAAGCAUGGCACUCUGAUGCAGCGGCACCUUCAGAUUCACCCGGUCUUGGUUCUCACAUACGAUCGAAGGUUUACCAUGCACCCAGGCUAUGGUAUGUGCGAGUCAAUAUCAUAGAAGCACAGGAUAUCAUAAUAGCAGAGAAGACUCGUUUCCCGGAUGUUUAUGUGAAGG